Bos taurus (domestic cattle) is the source of this 449-nucleotide long non-coding RNA. The record is from Ensembl. Lineage: Eukaryota; Metazoa; Chordata; Mammalia; Artiodactyla; Bovidae.
GACCUGGAUUCUACCAGCUUGAGCCCUGGGCUGGGUGGGAUCGUCUGCUCAGGCAUCCUGAUCACAACCUCACUGGUAUUGUGGGCAGCAAGAGAGAUGGAACACUCAACAGUGGCCCCAGGACUGGAAAAGAUGAGGCUUCAGGAAUCAAAAUCACUUGCUGAGGUCACAGAUCCAGUCCGCAGUCUUCCGGAUGACGUCUUUUCCUCAGCCCGCUCCCAGCCUGGCUCUGCUUCCUCCUGGCGGCUAUGAGAAGCAACGAGAAACCAGGCUCCAUUUGUGGCUGCCAUUUCGUGAGCACCUACCACAUGCCAGGCCUUACACUGGGGACCCUAUGUGAGUGGAACACCACCCCUGACCCUAAGGUGCUCGCUCUCCAGUGAAGAACAGCCGUGGAACAGCUGAACUUGGCAGCAGACUGUGGUUGGCAUCCUAAGAGAUUAAGGAGG